Non-coding RNA from Ixodes scapularis (black-legged tick), 46 nucleotides. The record is from Rfam. NCBI's taxonomy places the organism in Eukaryota, Metazoa, Arthropoda, Arachnida, Ixodida, Ixodidae.
UAUAAGGCUCUUUUCAGAGCCAUCUAUUCUAGGAGAGUUUGGUAUU